This 496-nucleotide ribosomal RNA is filed under the name uncultured bacterium. Its description in RNAcentral is "partial 16S ribosomal RNA". It matches the Rfam family "Bacterial small subunit ribosomal RNA", at positions 28 to 506 of the family's 1533-position model. The record is from RNAcentral.
GAUGAACGCUGGCGGCGUGCCUAAUACAUGCAAGUCGAGCGAACGGACGAGAAGCUUGCUUUUCUGAUGUUAGCGGCGGACGGGUGAGUAACACGUGGAUAACCUACCUAUAAGACUGGGAUAACUUCGGGAAACCGGAGCUAAUACCGGAUAAUAUUUUGAACCGCAUGGUUCAAAAGUGAAAGACGGUCUUGCUGUCACUUAUAGAUGGAUCCGCGCUGCAUUAGCUAGUUGGUAAGGUAACGGCUUACCAAGGCAACGAUGCAUAGCCGACCUAAGAGGGUGAUCGGCCACACUGGAACUGAGACACGGUCCAGACUCCUACGGGAGGCAGCAGUAGGGAAUCUUCCGCAAUGGGCGAAAGCCUGACGGAGCAACGCCGCGUGAGUGAUGAAGGUCUUCGGAUCGUAAAACUCUGUUAUUAGGGAAGAACAUAUGUGUAAGUAACUGUGCACAUCUGGACGGUACCUAAUCAGAAAGCCACGGCUAACUACGU